GUAGCGAGAAUUAUGUGGGAAUCAUAAUGGCCGAAAAUCUAAGGUUUCCUGGGGAAGGUUCGUCCGCCCAGGGUAAGCCGGGAGCUAAGGCGAGGCCGCAAGGCGUAGUCGAUGCACAUACGGUAGAAAUUCCGUAGCCGGUACAAUUGUUAAUCACGGUGACACAUGAGUGUAGCUCUACCGGGCGUUGGUAGCCCCGGGCGUAAGCGAGCCGAAUGAGGCGAAGUGAGUAAAGCUUGUGGCGAGAAAAGCCGUGAGGAUUGGUUGUACUGCCCGUACCGCAAACCGACACAGGUAGAUGAGGAGAAGAUCCUAAGGCCAACGGGAGAAGGGUUGUUAAGGAACUAGGCAAAUUGACCCCGUAACUUCGGAAUAAGGGGUGCCUGCGAAAGCAGGCCGCAGAGAAUCGGCCCAAGCAACUGUUUACCAAAAACACAGGUCUCUGCUAAAUCGAAAGAUGACGUAUAGGGGCUGACGCCUGCCCGGUGCUGGAAGGUUAAGAGGAGGACUUAGGGGAAACCCGAAGGUUUGAAUUGAAGCCCCAGUAAACGGCGGCCGUAACUAUAACGGUCCUAAGGUAGCGAAAUUCCUUGUCAGGUAAGUUCUGACCCGCACGAAAGGCGUAAUGAUUUGGGCACUGUCUCAACAGCCCGCCCGGCGAAAUUGUAGUACCGGUGAAGAUGCCGGUUACCCGCAACUAGACGGAAAGACCCCAUGGAGCUUUACUGCAGCUUAAUACUGAGAUUCGGUAAAUCAUGUACAGGAUAGGUGGGAGACUGGGAAAUUCAGCCGUCAGGUUGAAUGGAGUCGCUGUUGGGAUACCACCCUUGGUUUGCUGGAUUUCUAACCUGCUGCCCUGAAUCGGGUAGGGGGACACUGUUAGGCGGGCAGUUUGACUGGGGCGGUCGCCUCCUAAAAUGUAACGGAGGCGCUCAAAGGUUGGCUCAGCAUGGAUGGAAACCAUGCAAUGAGUGUAAACGUAUAAGCCAGCCUGACUGCGAGACCGACGGGUCGAGCAGAGACGAAAGUCGGAGUUAGUGAUCCGGUGGUAUGUGAGUGGAAAUGCCAUCGCUCAACGGAUAAAAGCUACCCUGGGGAUAACAGGCUGAUCUCCCCCAAGCGUCCACAGCGACGGGGAGGUUUGGCACCUCGAUGUCGGCUCGUCGCAUCCUGGGGCUG
Molecule: ribosomal RNA, 1179 nt
Filed under: wastewater metagenome
Description: bacterial LSU rRNA
Rfam family: Bacterial large subunit ribosomal RNA
Source: RNAcentral